GUGCAUUUAUUAUCGCUUGUGGGACCAAAACGAAUCAAUGUUCCAGAAUAUUUUAGAUGUAUUUCAUAAUUUGUGUUCCAGUUAUGCAAAUUAAGAACCAAAUUAAGACAUUCACCCUUUUAGUGGGAAAAGUUGAUCUAUUUUUCAAAUAAAAUAAUCAUGCAAGUUCAAUUUUUCUACAGUCUUUGAUUCACUUCUUAAAUAUGAAGGUCCAGUUCGGUCUGAUUCUUAGUUGCCUGAUUAUAUACAGUUUCCUCGACGGUAACUGGAGUGUCAAACCAGUAGUAAAUGUCAUUCUGGAGAAUGUUGGUCGGAGAUCCUAAAGAUUUUUAGAAGGAUGCAAGGAAGACGCAAGGACAUUUAAUAUGUUGAAUAUGUACAUUUAAAAAUGUUUUAACAACCAAGAUCUUAAAUAAAUAAAAAAGUCCUUCAAAGUAAAAAUAGAGAAAGCAUGAAGAAUAUGAACUGAUCAGCACCGUCUAUGUCGGUAUAUGGCCAACUAGAUAUUCUAGAUACUAUAAAGAAACAGUUGACAGUGUUUGGCUUAGAUGAAGGAUAUAUGUACAUA
Molecule: long non-coding RNA, 568 nt
Organism: Drosophila willistoni
Lineage: Eukaryota; Metazoa; Arthropoda; Insecta; Diptera; Drosophilidae
Exons: 2
Source: RefSeq, a predicted model, not a curated record